AUGCGUACUAACUUUUGGCGCCAUUAUCGAACGUUGGCCGUUGGGAUUUGCUUCGACGAGGGAUACGGAUAAAAUACAAGCGUAAAACCUCGUUUGUUGCAGUAUAUUCUUCACAAAUAAACAAUUUAUUAGGAAAAUACGUUCAAGAAACGUCUCGUGCUGUACUAGCCUAAUUCUGGCAAAUGUUAUUUACUUUCUUCACCUUCGUGUCGAAGACUGUUGUUUGCUGAUGGCCAAAUCACGACAGCGGACAUCAAUUAUUCAAAAUAUGUUCUUAUAGCUUCACGUUUACGAUACGAAUGUAAGAUUAUUUAUUUUUUGUAUAUGUAGGUUGUAGUUGAAAGUGACAGCGACAAUGAAAAAAGUGCAAACAACAUUGAAAUAUCCAGUUCACUACUAGCUCAAAUCCUGCGACAUAUCACUUGCUAGUAGCCCAGUCUAGUUUAACCUUUCCCAAUCAAGAAUCAUCUCCUGAAUCCAAGGCCCUACUCUGGGGCGGUAAAUCGCCUUAAAUCGCCUUAAAUCGCCCAAAAUCGCAUUAAAUCGCGGGUUAAAAUGGUCAAAUUUCUCUUAAAUCGCCUAAAAU
Molecule: non-coding RNA, 586 nt
Organism: Paramuricea clavata
Lineage: Eukaryota; Metazoa; Cnidaria; Anthozoa; Malacalcyonacea; Plexauridae
Source: the annotation of a GenBank genome assembly